GCGCUGUGGAACCGCCUCCUGCUAGAGCAGCGGGCUGGCGACGGUCCUCGCCGGGGCGGGAAGCGGCUCAGGCUGCCCUCGCUGGCCUGCGGCGGCGCGGCUGGAAGCGCGGGCCACUCGUGCGUGGGUCACUCAGGACUGCGCCUCGCGCGACUGUGUGUGCAGGAAACAAGCAGGAAAUACCCUAAAAGAGAAUGAAGCGCCAUGUUGAGGGUCGCGGACGUCGCGAGUGCUGUGGGAAUGUGGGCUGAGGUGGAGAGUUAUGGUAGCCCGUGUUACAGGCUCAGGGGUCUGAAAGAAGCCUAAUCGUGGAGGCGGCAUCUGAGGAGGGUCUUGAAGGCUGGGCAGGCAUUUGCCCGACAGAGAUGGAGGAAGCUAGUCCUGUCUGAUGGAGGAAACAGGGCGGAGGCGUGGAGGGAGCCGUGCAGCGCUGGUGUGAGGAGCAGCGAGCAGGCCAGGCCUGUAAAGCAGAGUGAGGGAACCAGGAUAGAGAAGGCAAGUCGGGGUCCUGUGGUCGCUGAAGAAUUUGAAUGAAAUCAGUAAACAGGUGAGAGGGAUCCAUCGCAAGAGCAUGGGAUGAAAGGAGGAGUAGUCCACGGUGAUUCCUCUGCAGCGGUGGGUGUUAUUAAUCGCGUAUGUGACACCAAAACCACCCCACUCAAGCUGUGGCUCUUUCCCUAAAGUAGAAAACCGAGACCAGUUGGGUUCCAAGCAUCCACGAAGAUCUUAUUAAAUUCGUGAUCCCUGGUGGCACCAUGGAGUCAGGAUUGGCUCAUCUCAAACCUGACUCAGAAACAAAACCGUCACAAUGUGCAGAGAUGAGCGUCCUUACCGCUAUCAACGUAUUUUCUGGUGUUUUCACAGUGCUGCGCUUCCUAAUCCCCAUUCCAUGGCAAUCCACAUGCCAUGAUGCCCGGAGUCAUUAACAAAGGAGACACACAGGGGCUCCUCACGUUGGCUUUCCAGGGUUUUGAUGAAAAUCUGUUUCCUCGUCUCAUACAAUGUGGUUAGUAAUAGUAUCAUUUAGGGUUGAAGAAUUAAAUGGUACGAGUUAUAUAGGGUGCUUAUUAUAACCUACAUGGAAAAUGCCUAGGAUAUGUUAGCUAUGCUCAUCACCAACAUCGUUAUAUGAUGGUAAUAAUCAGAUAGUCAGGAAGCCUGACACCAAGAAAAUGGAUACAUGCUCUGAAGGAAUGAAUGUGGAGAGAUCAGAAGGUCAAGAACAAAGUCGUACAAUAUGUCUACAGUAAAGGGAUAGAGAAAAGAAAGGCUAUAAAAGAAGGAAUGAAACAGAGUUAAAUUAUAGAAAUCAAAGCUAAGGAGAAUUUCCAGAAAGGGUAGUAUCAUUUAAUAUCAUAGAAGUUUAGGAGCCCAAGAUGGAAAAAAGGCCUCUGGGUAACUGACAUUGAGGCAGUCUUUGGGGAAGCUCCAUUUCCGAUAGAGAAGUAGACUGAAAGUCAGCUUGAAGCAGGGACUAGGUGAAGAAGCUGUUGGCUGGUCGCAUGGGGAAAUAAAUAAGGGAUGGCAUAUGCCGUAUUUCUGGAUUUCUUUCUUUCUUGCCCAGCCUCUAUAUAUGCACAGAGUUUGGCGAAAACUUACAAAAAAUAAAAAUGAAACCAAUUUCGUUUGUAGACCCAAAUACAAUGCUUUCUGUUAGAAUCAAGAUAAAUUCAUGCCUCUCCCUUCUAUUCAAACCGUCAGUUUUGAAAUUAAACAUCAGCUUUUCUUCUUCAUUAAAAUCAUUUUCAGCUCUUCCCAUUGAUGGUUUGGGGGAGUUGCAUAAGCAGUCAGGUCUUGAUGAGUAGAGGAGGAGGGAACAAACACUUUCAGCAAAGGCAGAAUUCUGAAAUUCUGCUCAUAUUUUUUUCCAGUAACUUUCCUAUGUUUGUGAGGUUAUUCAGUCAUAAAGAUCCUAGUGAAAUGUUUUUCAAGCUUUACUAAUCAUAAUCACUGUGGACAUUUGUUUAAAAUGUGUAUUCCCAGGCCUCUCACCUGGUGAUUCUGAUUCAGGAGAUCAUGGAUGGGACUCAGCAUACAUGUGUUUGACAAGUAUCACAAGUGGUUCUUAUGGUCAGGCAAAUUUGGGAAACUAACCAGGAAUUUAUGUUUUUAUGACUGGCAGCUAGAAAAGAUUCCUAGAGUCUUUGCUUUUUGAAAAUAAAAUAUUUCUUUUUUAAAAGGAAAAUUGUAUGACUAGAUACAGCAUUUAUACAUGUGAUAAAUGUACUAUACUGUGUGCUUUUGUCAUAUUUACAGUUAAAGAUGUGUAAGAACACUCUGAGAAAAAUUGUAUAUUAAAUGAAAAGAGGGGUAAGUCAGGGUGGGGGAGAAAUGAGAAGGGUGUGCUUAUUGUUGCUAAAAGUUAGAAAAGCCAGAAUGAUAGCAUCUAAGGUUGCAAAUAGCACACUGUAAGUUGAGGGAGCUUCACAAUCAUGUCUGAAGCCUUCUUUGAUAUGCUGAGUUGUAAACAGUGGCUUUGGACAAGAUUUGAGGGAGAAACCAACUAUGCUUUAAAGUGUUCAUUUAAAAGUCUUUAAUUAAAGGAAAGUCUUUGCAUUUACUUGAGCUAAUUUAACUUCAGGACUUUAAGAAAUUACUAGCCCUUAACCUCUUAAAAAUUGUCUUUCAUUUCAAAUGAAAGUUUAAGGUGGCCUUUAUGUUCGAUUGGUAUACUUGUGCGAAGACUUAACAGCAAGGUACUGUACAAUUCUAAAUGUUUACUUCUUAAUUUUGCUGGAAGAAAUAUACUACUCAAUUGAUUAUUUUUAAAGCAAAGUAAAACAAUUUAUUUUGACAAGUGACACUGUAUUUUCCUAGUUUUUUGGUGGCAAAGAUUAGUCUUAACAUCACUAAUCAUCAGAGAAAUGCAAAUCAAAACCAAAACGAGAUACCAUCCUACACCAGUCAGAAUAGCUACUAUUCAAAAAUUGAAAAACAACAGAUCUUGGGAGGCUGUGGAGAAAGGGGAACAUUUACACAUAAUUGGUGCAAAUGUAAAUUAGUUCAGCCACUGUUCAAAGCGGUUUGGAAAUUUCUCAAAGCAUUUAAAAUAGAAUUACCAUUCAAGCCAACAAUUCCAUUACUGGUAUAUAACCCAAAGAGAAUCAGUUAUUCUACCAAAAAGACAUAUGCACUUGCAUGUUCAUCGCAGCACUAUUCACAAUAGCAAAGACAUGGAGUCAGCCUAGGUGCCCAUCGACAGUGGAUUGGAUCAAUAAAAUGUGGUACAUCUACACAGUAUGAUUAGGCCAUUCUUGCAUUGCUAUGAAGAAAUACCUGAGGCUGGGUAAUUUAUAAGGAAAAGAGAUUUAAUUGGCUCACAUCUCUGCAGGCUGUACAGGAAGCAUGGUGAUGGCAUCUGCAUGGCGCCUGUGGAGGCCCCAGGGAGCUUUUACUCAUGAUGGAAGGCACAGAGGGAGUAGGCACAUCACAUGGUCCGAGGAGGAGCAAGAGAAAAUGGGAGUGGGGGUAAGUACCACACACCCUUACACAACCAGAUCUUGAAAGAAUUCACUAUCACAAGGACGGCAUCAGGCCAUGAGAGAUCCAUCCCCAUGACCCUACCAGGCCCCACCUCCAACACUGAGGAUUACAUUUCAUCAUGAGAUUUAUAGGGGCCACCUUCCAAACCAUUUCAUACACCACGGAAUACUAUGCAGCCAUAAAAAUAACAAAAUCAUGUCCUUUGAAACAACAUGGAUGCAGCCGGAGGCCAUUAUCCUAAGUGAAUUAAUGCAGGAACAUAAAACAAAAUACCACAUGAUCCCACUUAUAAGUGGGAGCUAAACACUGGGUACUCAUGGACAUAAAGAUGGAAAGAAUAAACACCGGGACUACUAGAGGGGAGAAGGAGGAAGGCAAGGUUUGAAAAACUACCUAUUGGGUAUUAUGCUCAUGUAUUAAUCUGUUCUCACACUGCUGUAGAGAACUACCUGAGACUGGGUAAUUUAUAAAGAAAAGAGGUUUAACUGACUCACAAUUCCACAGGCUGUACAGGAAGCAUGGCUGGGAGGCUUCAGGAAACUUAUAAUCAUGGCAGAUGGUGAAGGGGGAAGCAAGGCACGUUCUACCAUGGCGGAAGGAGAGCAAGUGAGCCAGGGGGGAUUUGCCAUAUGUUUAAACCAUCAGAUGUCAUGAGAACUCACUUACCAUCUAAGAACAACAAGGGGGAAAUCUGCCCUCAUGAGCUAAUCACCUCCCACCAUGUCAUUCCCCCUACAUUGGGAAUUACAAUUCAACAUGAGAUUUGGGUGGGGACACAGAGUCAAAUCAUACCAAAUCAGCAUCUGGAUGAUGGGAUCAUUCAUACCCCAAAACUCAGCAUUAUGAGAUAUACCCAUGUAACAAACUGGCACAUGUACCCCUGAAUGUAAAAUACAAGUUAAAAUUAUUUUCAAAAUAAAUUAAUUAAUGAAUAAAUAAAUAUUAUUAAAUUAAAUUAAAAUUUUGAAUUAAAAAAAUUUGAGAGUGAUUUCAGCUUGACAGUUAUGUAAGUUAUGUAAAUGGAAACAGUGAGUUCUGUAAGGUUCGGAUAAAUUGGACUAUGUGUACUAAGUUGAUGUCCAGUUGUUUGGAUGAAAAGAAAAGAGGAGAAACAUAUAGAUCUAACAGGAAAAAAAUGGACAAGUUUUUAUGAUAGCAAAAAGAAAAAUGGAGGAAAUAGGACUGAGAUUAUAGUGAUUGAUAGAUAUUAAUAGACGACUAAGUCAAAAGCCACUGGUUGCAGAAAAUAUUGAUUAAUUUUGUUUUAUUCCAGUCAGACAACAAAAUUCUAUGCCCUGCCUCCAGAGAAAAACCUUUUAGCCCUGUAAUUAUCUUUAUUCCAAGCACCAUUCCAUUCAUUAAGUAGUGUAUACGGUGAUUAAUAAGUGAAUUAUUCACCGAAUUGAGACAGAAGUUUUGAGUAUUUCAGGAUAUUAAUAGUAUAGUCAAUGAACUAAAAUAAAAUUUGACUAGAGGUGUGAUCACCAUGAAUGCCAUGUUGGUAUCUUGUUAGAUUUGGCAACCUAAAGUUGACAAAUUUAUUUAUAAAAUAAACAUUCAUUGAUGAUUAAUUUAUAAUUAGUAGACAUGCUCUGUCUUCUUCCUUCGUUUUCUUUUUCAUUCAUUCAUUCAUUCCUACAGAGCAGUGACUUUCAUUCUAAGAUUCCCAGAAUCCUAAGGAAUUCUUGAACGUCAUCAUAGGGAGCCAGGUGUGGGGAUUCCCAAAAGUUGUAUUUAAUACUUGAAAAAAUCUCGAAAAGUUAUAUAUUUACACCAGAAACAGCUAUACAGGUUUUAAGUUAUGUAUAUAUAGUUGAAUAUAUUUUAUUUCUAUCCAGAACUAAGUCAUUAGAGUUAGUAAUGUUGAUUAUUUCAUACUGACCUAAUGGGUAGCCUUUAUAUAUCAUUGAUUACUUAUUAAUAAAAUAAGAACCACCCCCAAAAUUACAAAAUAAAUAUAUUUUGUGGGUUUUUCUUAAGGCUUUUGAAACAUAAAAUCAGAGGAGAGGAUUAAAAGUAAUCCGUGAUUGUUAAAAAGGCAGGAAACUACUAACUUAGAAAAUUGUAUGAAAACAGCAAGAUAUAUACAUGGACCUCAGACCAGCUGCCUGUUUUAAUAAAGUUUUAUUGGAGCACAUCCAUGGAUCUAUGGUGCUUUCCUGCUACAAUGGUAGAGUUGAAUGGUUGCUAUAGAGACCGUAUGGUUUGCAAAGCUUAAAAUAUUUAUCAUCUGGUCCUUUAUAGCAAAAGUGAACCCAGUUUUAGAACAUUCACUUCACAAAUUAAGAUACAGUGGAUGCUGCCUUAACUGACCUCCACUUAACUGAUUUACAAUUAGCACUUUCUGGUACCCCUGUACAACUUAUUGACUGAUGUCCAUUGCAAACUGAAAGCCUUUGAGCUACUUUUAAUGCCUGUACAUUUCUCCUUCCAUCACAGAAAUUAUAUAGUUUCUAAGAGGAAGCUGUGUUCAUUCCUAAAUAUGUUUACACCAUUUGUUCUUGCUCUUGUAGUUAUGCAAUUUAAUUAAAUAUUAUAUUGGGAGGCUAAGGAGGGCGGAUAACUAGGUCAAGAGAUCGAGACCAUCCUGGCUAACAUGGUGAAACCCGGUCUCUACUGAAAAUACAAAAAAAUUAGCAGGGCGUGGUGGCGGGCGCCUGUACUCCCAGCUACUUGGGAGGCUGAGGCAGGAGAAUGAGGUGAACCUGAGAGGCGGAGCUUGCAGUGAGUAGAGAUGGCACCACUGCACU
Molecule: long non-coding RNA, 6233 nt
Filed under: Homo sapiens (human)
Lineage: Eukaryota; Metazoa; Chordata; Mammalia; Primates; Hominidae
Description: non-protein coding FRG1-DT:22
Source: RNAcentral